GUCGAACGAACUCUUCGGAGUUAGUGGCAGACGGGUGAGUAACGCGUGGGAACCUACCUUUAGGUACGGAACAACAGUUGGAAACGACUGCUAAUACCGUAUGAGCCCUAUGGGGGAAAGAUUUAUCGCCUAAGGAUGGGCCCGCGUUGGAUUAGCUAGUUGGUGGGGUAAAGGCCUACCAAGGCGACGAUCCAUAGCUGGUCUGAGAGGAUGAUCAGCCACACUGGGACUGAGACACGGCCCAGACUCCUACGGGAGGCAGCAGUGGGGAAUAUUGGACAAUGGGGGCAACCCUGAUCCAGCCAUGCCGCGUGAGUGAUGAAGGCCCUAGGGUUGUAAAGCUCUUUCAGCGAGGAGGAUAAUGACGUUACUCGCAGAAGAAGCCCCGGCUAACUUCGUGCCAGCAGCCGCGGUAAUACGAAGGGGGCUAGCGUUGUUCGGAAUCACUGGGCGUAAAGCGCACGUAGGCGGACUUUUAAGUCAGGGGUGAAAUCCCGGGGCUCAACCCCGGAACUGCCUUUGAUACUGGAAGUCUUGAGACCGAGAGAGGUGAGUGGAACUCCGAGUGUAGAGGUGAAAUUCGUAGAUAUUCGGAAGAACACCAGUGGCGAAGGCGGCUCACUGGCUCGGUACUGACGCUGAGGUGCGAAAGCGUGGGGAGCAAACAGG
RNAcentral lists this ribosomal RNA (669 nucleotides) under Labrenzia sp. AU427_Ted1_NSW. RNAcentral describes it as "bacterial SSU rRNA". It matches the Rfam family "Bacterial small subunit ribosomal RNA", at positions 61 to 776 of the family's 1533-position model. Lineage: Bacteria; Pseudomonadati; Pseudomonadota; Alphaproteobacteria; Hyphomicrobiales; Stappiaceae. The record is from RNAcentral.